Molecule: ribosomal RNA, 539 nt
Filed under: uncultured archaeon
Lineage: Archaea
Description: bacterial SSU rRNA
Rfam family: Archaeal small subunit ribosomal RNA
Source: RNAcentral
UGUGAGAGCAAGAGCCCGGAGAUGGAUUCUGAGACACGAAUCCAGGCCCUACGGGGUGCAGCAGGCGCGAAAACUUUACAAUGCUGGCAACAGCGAUAAGGGAACCUCGAGUGCCAGGUUACAAAUCUGGCUGUCGAGAUGCCUAAAAAGCAUUUCAUAGCAAGGGCCGGGCAAGACCGGUGCCAGCCGCCGCGGUAACACCGGCGGCUCGAGUGGUAACCGUUAUUAUUGGGUCUAAAGGGUCUGUAGCCGGCCGGAUAAGUCUCUUGAGAAAUCUGGCAGCUUAACUGUCAGGCUUUCAGGAGAUACUGUCUGGCUCGAGGCCGGGAGAGGUGAGAGGUACUUCAGGGGUAGGGGUGAAAUCUUGUAAUCCUUGAAGGACCACCAGUGGCGAAGGCGUCUCACCAGAACGGACCUGACGGCAAGGGACGAAAGCUAGGGGCACGAACCGGAUUAGAUACCCGGGUAGUCCUAGCCGUAAACGAUACUCGCUAGGUGUCGGCCACGGUGCGACCGUUGUCGGUGCCGUAGGGAAGCCG